GUGUAUUAAGUAAUGGCUUCUCUAGAACCAUUUAGUUUUCUUAGAACUAAAUAUAAUUCAACUAGGCUUAAAUUUAAUGACACAUUUUAAUGAAGCUUUAGGAAACAAUAUCAAAAAUAAAGACAAAAGAACAAUUUUGGGCCCAUUACGUCUUGUAACCGUUUGUUAGCUUAAGCAAUCAUAUAUCCUUAAGCAGACGGAGAUGGUGAAUCGAUCAAUGCAAGGCAAUUAUUCCAUGUCUGAAUGCUCUUCGCUAUAAUUGUCGCUGGGCUUAGGUCUUUGAAUAGAGGAUUUUCUAGAGUCCUCUUUCCUAAUGCUGAGUGGCAAACUUUUCCCAACACAACAAGUUCGCCGCAACACUUGUUAGAAAUACUCCCUGUCUCGAAAAUACUCGUGAAAACUUCUAGAACACAGGGCAAACCCAUUUUAGUUUCACAAUUAUUUUCCUUAAUAAUCUGGUCAUUCUCCUUCGUGGCCAUUCCUGCCCCGCAAGUUAAGAAUAAAACCACUAGUACGGAAUAAACAUGAAGGCAUGCCAUACCGCUCGAAUCUGAUGUUACUAGUUAAAUUUGGUUCGUAAAAUUAAUUUCGAACAAGAUUUACAGGGAAAAAACUGGCAUUUAUAGGAAGUGUUAUAACCACAUUCGACUACAAUACGUUACAAUAAAAGAAAACAUUCAGCAAUUCAGUUUAAUUAGAACAUUCAAUAUUUCAGUCUAAUUAGCAUUAAUUUUAAUUACUACAAAUCAAAAUAUUAAUUCAAAC
This 765-nucleotide long non-coding RNA is filed under the name Gossypium raimondii (Peruvian cotton). Its description in RNAcentral is "long non-coding RNA (GRAI_LNC011117)". Lineage: Eukaryota; Viridiplantae; Streptophyta; Magnoliopsida; Malvales; Malvaceae. The record is from RNAcentral.